AAGGACACAUGAGGUGGCCAAUCAGAAUUAUGAUAUUUGGCAGCCUCUUUUUUUUUUGACCGGCCUCAUCACCAGGGUUAAGGAGGGCCAGAAAGGGUGUCGAGUUGAGUGGUCUCAACGGACGAUCAGCAAAAAUAUCUCCACCAGACAUCUGGACUUUCCUGGAGAAGGACGUUCAGCUCCCAACGAGGCGAAG
This is a non-coding RNA of Peromyscus maniculatus bairdii (prairie deer mouse), 196 nucleotides long. The record is from RefSeq and is a predicted model, not a curated record. Lineage: Eukaryota; Metazoa; Chordata; Mammalia; Rodentia; Cricetidae.